This 231-nucleotide ribosomal RNA is filed under the name uncultured bacterium. RNAcentral describes it as "partial 16S ribosomal RNA". It matches the Rfam family "Bacterial small subunit ribosomal RNA", at positions 99 to 334 of the family's 1533-position model. The record is from RNAcentral.
CGGACGGGUGAGUAAUGUCUGGGAAACUGCCUGAUGGAGGGGGAUAACUACUGGAAACGGUAGCUAAUACCGCAUAACGUCGCAAGACCAAAGAGGGGACCUUCGGGCCUCUUGCCAUCGGAUGUGCCCAGAUGGGAUUAGCUGGUAGGUGGGGUAACGGCUCACCUAGGCGACGAUCCCUAGCUGGUCUGAGAGGAUGACCAGCCACACUGGAACUGAGACACGGUCCAG